AGGCUCAGGCAAAUUCAGCAAUCUGUCCCGGGUCACUAAGGUGUCUGCAGCACAGCAGCCAACACUUCUGGAGCACAUGGCCCUGCAGUGAAGGAUUCUGGAGCCCACAUUCAUCUGAAGGGGAUCCGAGGAGGUUCUGUCUUGUUGAAUGUGAUGGAGAAGCUCAGAGUAGAUGUAGGCGCUGAGCUGGAGGAGAGCCUGUGCCUCAUCCUGAGAUCCUGGCCAAGUCACUGUCUAUCAUACCAGGCUCGUGUAACAUCACCCUGGAGUGUAGGGCUCCAGGAGCCACAGAGGACCUGUAUGUGACUUGGGAGAGCAAGGACCUCCUCAGAGAGCUGGAGCACAGAGAAACACCAGGACCAUCCCCCAACCCAUGGACCCUGGCUGUGAACCUGCCCCUGAGCCAGCCGAACAGCAAUCUCACCUGUGUGGUCAGCAACCAGGUGGAUCAGAAAGAUGUAACCUUACCCUGGGGAAGCCUGUGUCAAGGUUCAUGUAGACUGGACAUGGCUCUCCUUCUGCGAGAUAUUUUUGGAGUCAUUGCAUUUGUGCUGUUGAUCUUGGGAGCUGGGCUGUACCUCUGGAAGAAACAUGGGAAGAAGAAGAAGAAAGAUAAGGAGGAAGAAGAGGAGGAGGAGCAGAAGGAGGGGGAGGAGGGGGAGGAGACAGGAAUAGGCAGAUUGCACUUCUCCAUCGAGGCCCAGAUAUCUCCCCUCCCCAACUAGAAUCUGGGUUCUCUUUCUCCUGAAAGAAUGUCAUUGUUUAACUAUAUGAGUAACCCUAGAUAUAGCAUCGAGUUAAUGUGUCCAAGAUAUUUGUUACUGGAAAAAACUGAAAAGCAGUGCAUGGUAUGAUUUAAUUUUUGUAAAAGCGUAUAGAUAGGUAGGUAGAAAGAUAAGCACAGAAUAAAAUCUAUAUACUACAUGACAGAUUA
Molecule: small RNA, 934 nt
Filed under: Pongo abelii (Sumatran orangutan)
Lineage: Eukaryota; Metazoa; Chordata; Mammalia; Primates; Hominidae
Description: processed transcript
Source: RNAcentral